AUGAAUACGAGGCCUGUAGUGCUGGUCUGCCUCCUGAUCGUGCUCAUCAUCACGUCGCAGUUCGAGUGGAAGCAGCAGAUCGAGGACGCAGCUGACGCGGACCCUGUCACCGCGCGCCGGCGGCAGCAAGUCCUUGCGAAGGAGGACGCCGUCAAGGAGAAGAUACUCUUGUCUCAAGAGAAAAACAUUCAACAGCUUAAUGAGCUUAUCGAGAGCCUUCAACGGCAGCUGCUGCACUGCCGUGGUAGCAACAAGACCAUUCAUACCACUACAAUUGCUGCUACCGAAGCAAGUGAGGUGGAUGGGCAUGAAAUCAUUGAUGAUUGA
Molecule: ribosomal RNA, 327 nt
Filed under: Triticum aestivum (bread wheat)
Lineage: Eukaryota; Viridiplantae; Streptophyta; Magnoliopsida; Poales; Poaceae
Description: partial small subunit ribosomal RNA
Source: RNAcentral